GAUGAACGCUGGCGGCGUGCCUAACACAUGCAAGUCGAGCGGCAGCGAGGGGUGCUUGCACCCUGUCGGCGAGCGGCGGACGGCUGAGUAACGCGUGGGAACGUGCCCCAAAGUGAGGAAUAACUGCCCGAAAGGGUAGCUAAUACCGCAUAUUAUCUUCGGAUCAAAGGAUUUAUCCGCUUUGGGAGCGGCUCGCGUCGGAUUAGGUAGUUGGUGAGGUAAUGGCUCACCAAGCCGACGAUCCGUAGCUGGUCUGAGAGGAUGACCAGCCAGACUGGAACUGAGACACGGUUCUGACUCCUACGGGAGGCAGCAGUGAGGAAUCUUCCACAAUGGGCGAAAGCCUGAUGGAGCAACGCCGCGUGCAGGACGAAGGCCUUCGGGUUGUAAACUGCUUUUAUAAGUGAGGAAUAUGACGGUAACUUAUGAAUAAGGAUCGGCUAACUACGUG
RNAcentral lists this ribosomal RNA (451 nucleotides) under uncultured bacterium. RNAcentral describes it as "partial 16S ribosomal RNA". It matches the Rfam family "Bacterial small subunit ribosomal RNA", at positions 28 to 507 of the family's 1533-position model. The record is from RNAcentral.